Long non-coding RNA from Vespa mandarinia (Asian giant hornet), 235 nucleotides. The record is from RefSeq and is a predicted model, not a curated record. Lineage: Eukaryota; Metazoa; Arthropoda; Insecta; Hymenoptera; Vespidae.
AUUGUGAUUGGCUCACGUUACGAAUAAGCUUGCAUCGACUUUAUAGAUCGCACUUAAGAUCAAAGAAGGUAUAUAUGGUGCUAGAGGUAUUAUUAUAAGUGCUACUAAUCUAAAAAAAGUAAAAAAACCUUUCUGCAGUCGUGUAGGUUCCUUCAAUCUGAACAUGAUUGCAACCUAUAAGCAACAAUUGUAAUUGUAAGACUGAGAUUUAAAAUAAAUAUAUUAAUAAACAAAA